GGUGAACGCUGGCGGCGUGCCUAAUACAUGCAAGUCGAGCGAACAGACGAGGAGCUUUCUCCUCUGACGUUAGCGGCGGACGGGUGAGUAACACGUGGAUAACCUACCUAUAAGACUUGGAUAACUUCGGGAAACCGGAGCUAAUACCGGAUAAUAUAUUGAACCGCAUGGUUCAAUAGUGAAAGACGGUUUUGCUGUCACUUAUAGAUGGAUCCGCGCCGGAUUAGCUAGUUGGUAAGGGAACGGCUUACCAAGGCAACGAUGCGUAUCCGACCUGAGAGGGUGAUCGGCCACACUGGAACUGAGACACGGUCCAGACUCCUACGGGAGGCAGCAGUAGGGAAUCUUCCGCAAUGGGCGAAAGCUUGACGGAGCAACGCCGCGUGAGUGAUGAAGGUCUUCGGAUCGUAAAACUCUGUUAGUAGGGAAGAACAAAUGUGUAAGUAACUAUGCACGUCUUGACGGUACCUAAUCAGAAAGCCACGGCUAACUACGUG
Molecule: ribosomal RNA, 497 nt
Filed under: uncultured bacterium
Lineage: Bacteria
Description: partial 16S ribosomal RNA
Rfam family: Bacterial small subunit ribosomal RNA
Source: RNAcentral